CUCUAUCCCAAAACGUGAAGAAGUGUGGGUCUUAAAGUCACUAGGAAAGAAAUGGAAAGAUUACAAGUGCGAGUUAAAGGGUGAAUAUACGCCAAAAUAUAAGACUAAAGACGCAUUACUGAAAAAUAGACCAAGUCGCAUACCAAGGGAUCAAUGGAGUGGUCUUGUAUCUUAUUAGCUUUCUGAUAAAGCUAUGAGACGUACCCAAGCAAACGAUGCCUCACAUAGGAGGAUCCAAAAGUAUUGUUACCUUGAUGAAUGCGUAGGCUGUAAAUGGGAUUGAGCCUACACGAGCAGAAAUUUUCUUAUUAACUCAUAAAAAACGUAAGGAUGGUUGGCCACUGGAUGAUGAUUUUGUCAAGACAAU
Molecule: non-coding RNA, 367 nt
Organism: Nicotiana tabacum (common tobacco)
Lineage: Eukaryota; Viridiplantae; Streptophyta; Magnoliopsida; Solanales; Solanaceae
Source: RefSeq, a predicted model, not a curated record